RNAcentral lists this long non-coding RNA (227 nucleotides) under Fukomys damarensis (Damara mole-rat). RNAcentral's name for it is "lncRNA (ENSFDAG00000027734.1)". The record is from RNAcentral. Lineage: Eukaryota; Metazoa; Chordata; Mammalia; Rodentia; Bathyergidae.
AACAAAUGGAGGGAAGGAAAGGAAGAGAGACAUACAAAGAAUUAAGAAUGUGUAAUCUACAUGAACUAACUCCCUGUGAUGAAGCACUCUUAAGGGGCUAUGCACACUCCCAGGAUGCCAAAGAUAACAUCUAGAUCAGCAAUUUCUCAUAAAUUACUGGAACAUGGAACAUGAAACAAGAAGGAGAAACCAGGAAUCCAAUAAUAAAUAUGGCAAGGUGCACAAAC